This 325-nucleotide ribosomal RNA is filed under the name uncultured eukaryote. Its description in RNAcentral is "partial 18S ribosomal RNA". It matches the Rfam family "Eukaryotic small subunit ribosomal RNA", at positions 1470 to 1796 of the family's 1831-position model. The record is from RNAcentral.
CCCUUAGAUGUUCUGGGCCGCACGCGCGCUACACUGAUGCAUUCAACGAGCCUAUCCUUGACCGACAGGUCCGGGUAAUCUUUGAAUCUGCAUCGUGACGGGGAUAGAUUAUUGCAAUUAUUAAUCUUCAACGAGGAAUGCCUAGUAGGCGCAAGUCAUCAGCUUGCGUCGAUUACGUCCCUGCCCUUUGUACACACCGCCCGUCGCUCCUACCGAUUGGGUGGUCCGGUGAGGCUUUGGGAUCUGAGCGGAAAGAGCGUUUCGCUGUUUCUGCUCGGAAAACUCAGUCGAACCUUAUCAUUUAGAGGAAGGAGAAGUCGUAACA